CCCAUAGUUCGGCCUUGUAAGCUAAACAGCGCCCAAUCAAAAAAAAGAAGCCGUCGAUCCACUUUUUGUCGCUGUAUCUAAGGAGAUCACCACAUCUCCCUUUAUCGCCGUUCCUUCCAUGUUUCACAGGUUCCAACUAGUGACAAUGAAGACAUCUUUUCAAUUCAUGCCUGGCAUACAUUAUGUCCUCAGUCUGAGUUCUGUAGCUAUGACAGGUUAUUGGUGUCUUCCAUCCAGGGGUCUCACAAAAAAUUUGUAGAGAAUCCAUCCUCAAUGUGGCAAAUUUUAUUCUUUGUGUAAUCAGGCUAAAUUUUGACAAAUUCUCUCCAUAAAGGUUGCUAUUUGUUAGGUUCUAAGGACAUUUAUGGUUUCUAUUUCUAGCUAAGGUUCGUUGUGAGUCCUUGUAACUGGUUUUUUCUCUUUAUUUGGUUUGGUUUGGGAGCUUGUGUUUUUGGUCUUGUUUCCUCUUGUGGCUACUAUUUGUUAUUUUAGUUGGGGUCUAGCUUUUGAUUUCUGUUGCUGGUUUAGGUAAUUGUUGUUGUGGAUUUUGUUAACUUUGUUGUUUGCUUGUGGUUCUUCAAUUUCUUGUUGUGGUUCUUCUACUUCGAAGAUACUGAAUAUUGAUUUAUUAUCUUUCUUUUUUUCUGUGAUCUUGCUAUUCCUACUCCAUUCUUAUUGCUCUCCUCUUUUAAUUCAUUUUCCCCUUAUCUGCCUCUGUACCACUAUUUAGGGUCCAAAGUUAUCCAUGCUUUGAGUCAUUAUGGCUUUUUCUUUUUUCUUUCUUUUGGCUUCUUCAUUUUUAUCUUAUUUCACUUGAUUGUUGCCUCCCGCUUGGUCUUUAUUGUUGGUUUCAGCUCCCACUUGAUUAUUCUCGGUAUUAAGAAUUACAUUGGUUUGAUCUUCUCUCUUUUUUCUCAUCACAUAGUUCUUUUGGUCAUGAUUGGCUUUACCGUAUGCAAAAUAAAUCUGAUGCUUUUGUAUUUUAUAUGAUAAAAUUUUUUAUUGACCAUAUAUCUCCCAAAUAGAGGUUUGGUUAGAUCAACCUCGAUACAUAAUCUAGCAAAUUUUUCUUUACAAAGAUGAAAAGUAUUAUAAUCAACUUUGCUGGUUUUUCCAAUAAGAUCUCAUAUCUUUCUCAAGAUUUUGUCAUUAUAGAGUUCUACGAGGAGCCCUAGUAAUCCAACCCAUGCUAUAAUUUUAUCUAUGGUUGUGUUAAGAGACUUAAAAUUUGGUUUCCAUUGCCUAAUAGCUAGGUAGUGAUCGUAUAUUUUUCAGGGACCAUCUAGAAAUAGCAUGAUCUAGAUCAUCUUGAGCAUAAAACGUGACUAUGUAAAAGUUGUUUCCUAGAUCAAUAACUUCAAUCCCACCAAAUCUGCCCCACAAGGCUUCCAACCUCAUCUUCAUUGCAAUGUAGCCUAGUUUUCUUUCUAACAGUUUAACUAUUAGGUACCUCCACCAGGAUUUUCAUAGUUCAUGUUCCGCGCUUCACUGAUAAGAAUAUUAAAGAGAUCUUUUCCAAAGUCCACUACUUUGAUUUUCGAUUUGCUAGUGUUGUCCUUCUUAUUCCUAUUUUCUUCU
Molecule: long non-coding RNA, 1578 nt
Organism: Arachis duranensis
Lineage: Eukaryota; Viridiplantae; Streptophyta; Magnoliopsida; Fabales; Fabaceae
Exons: 5
Source: RefSeq, a predicted model, not a curated record